ACCAGCCCACACUGGGGCUGGGAUCCUGAUCUUUGGUCUGAAACAUGCAGCCAGGGCUUACCAUCUUUUGGAUGUGCAGGCUGCUGGGGGGCCUGAUCUUUGCCAGGGAGGUCUCUCACCAUUUUGCUCAGUUGAUAUUUUGUUCUUUCCUUUAUUCCUGAGCUGUUCAGCAUGAGGCGACUCAGAAGGAGCAUGAGCAGAGAUGACCCUAAUAGGUGGUGCCAACACAGUUUCCCUGAGAAGUUGAAAUCGAGGACUGGUGCCCACUGAGGAGGUCUGAGGAGAGGAGGACUCAGAGCAGCCAGCAGAAGGAGAGUGCAUGAGAUUAUAUAAAGACUCAGAGAAGAGAUACAGCUCCUCCCGCACCAGAGAAAUGCAGCUCCGUGAGCCCCGAUGGAGCCAGCAUGCUGCUGGGUGCUGAGGAGCAGGCAGAGGCACCCAGGAUGGCGGUCCCCAAGGAGAACGGAGGCACAGAACAACGCAUGAGGGGCCACAUGACUUAGGGCCGGGAUCGGUCACUCAGCCAGCAAAAACACUGGAAGAAAACAAAACAACUUCAGACUCUAUGCUGCAUUUCCGUAAUAUAUCUGCCCAAAGACUGGACAACAAAGGUAAAGGAGGCUGAUGAGGAAACGAAAGGAUCCGUGGUUCUUGGCUCGCUGGGUGGCUCAUCAACAAAGCCCCAGCAU
This 689-nucleotide long non-coding RNA is filed under the name Homo sapiens (human). RNAcentral's name for it is "HSALNT0253598". The record is from RNAcentral. Lineage: Eukaryota; Metazoa; Chordata; Mammalia; Primates; Hominidae.